AUGAACGCUGGCGGCGUGCUUAACACAUGCAAGUCGCACGGAAAGGCUCCUGCUUGCAGGGGUACUCGAGUGGCGAACGGGUGAGUAACACGUGGGUGAUCUGCCCUGCACUUCGGGAUAAGCCUGGGAAACUGGGUCUAAUACCGGAUAGGACGAUGGUUUGGAUGCCAUUGUGGAAAGUUUUUCGGUGUGGGAUGAGCUCGCGGCCUAUCAGCUUGUUGGUGGGGUAAUGGCCUACCAAGGCGUCGACGGGUAGCCGGCCUGAGAGGGUGUACGGCCACAUUGGGACUGAGAUACGGCCCAGACUCCUACGGGAGGCAGCAGUGGGGAAUAUUGCACAAUGGGCGCAAGCCUGAUGCAGCGACGCCGCGUGGGGGAUGACGGCCUUCGGGUUGUAAACUCCUUUCGCUAGGGACGAAGCGCAAGUGACGGUACCUGGAGAAGAAGCACCGGCUAACUACGUG
RNAcentral lists this ribosomal RNA (464 nucleotides) under uncultured bacterium. RNAcentral describes it as "partial 16S ribosomal RNA". It matches the Rfam family "Bacterial small subunit ribosomal RNA", at positions 29 to 507 of the family's 1533-position model. The record is from RNAcentral.